This 475-nucleotide ribosomal RNA is filed under the name uncultured organism. RNAcentral's name for it is "partial 16S ribosomal RNA". It matches the Rfam family "Bacterial small subunit ribosomal RNA", at positions 335 to 801 of the family's 1533-position model. The record is from RNAcentral.
ACUCCUGCGGGAGGCAGCAGUGGGGAAUUUUGGACAAUGGGCGAAAGCCUGAUCCAGCAAUGCCGCGUGAGUGAAGAAGGCCUUCGGGUUGUAAAGCUCUUUUGUCAGGGAAGAAACGGUGAGAGCUAAUAUCUUUUGCUAAUGACGGUACCUGAAGAAUAAGCACCGGCUAACUACGUGCCAGCAGCCGCGGUAAUACGUAGGGUGCAAGCGUUAAUCGGAAUUACUGGGCGUAAAGCGUGCGCAGGCGGUUUUGUAAGUCUGAUGUGAAAUCCCCGGGCUCAACCUGGGAAUUGCAUUGGAGACUGCAAGGCUAGAAUCUGGCAGAGGGGGGUAGAAUUCCACGUGUAGCAGUGAAAUGCGUAGAUAUGUGGAGGAACACCGAUGGCGAAGGCAGCCCCCUGGGUCAAGAUUGACGCUCAUGCACGAAAGCGUGGGGAGCAAACAGGAUUAGAAACCCUAGUAGUCCCAUGAU